This 314-nucleotide small RNA is filed under the name Arabidopsis thaliana (thale cress). RNAcentral describes it as "ATSL163950". Lineage: Eukaryota; Viridiplantae; Streptophyta; Magnoliopsida; Brassicales; Brassicaceae. The record is from RNAcentral.
GGGUCCCACCAGCUACGUAGGAAUACCCUAUCUUGUUUAUAAGAGCUUUGAUACAUGCAAAAUAUUCGAAAACAAUGUCCGAACAUAUAAUUUUCGUCCCGUAAUAUAGCAAAGAUCACAAAAAGGCCAGAAAGAGUACAUUUACGUCAAAAUUUGGAUAGAAAAAAAACGAAUAGAAGAAUUCCAUUUUGACUUCCUCAUUCAUCGGAAAGCUCUCUUUGGGCUUUCCGAAAAGGUAUCACAUGCCAAGUUUGGAAUCACGGUUUAAAAGUUAUAGAGUCAUACAUUUUUAACAAAAAAUAAAGAGAAAACCC